This 497-nucleotide ribosomal RNA is filed under the name uncultured bacterium. RNAcentral describes it as "partial 16S ribosomal RNA". It matches the Rfam family "Bacterial small subunit ribosomal RNA", at positions 28 to 507 of the family's 1533-position model. The record is from RNAcentral.
GAUGAACGCUGGCGGCGUGCCUAAUACAUGCAAGUCGAGCGAACGGACGAGAAGCUUGCUUCUCUGAUGUUAGCGGCGGACGGGUGAGUAACACGUGGAUAACCUACCUAUAAGACUGGGAUAACUUCGGGAAACCGGAGCUAAUACCGGAUGAUAUUUUGAACCGCAUGGUUCAAAAGUGAAAGACGGUCUUGCUGUCACUUAUAGAUGGAUCUGCGCUGCAUUAGCUAGUUGGUAAGGUAACGGCUUACCAAGGCAACGAUGCAUAGCCGACCUGAGAGGGUGAUCAGACACACUGGAGGUGAGAGACGGUCCAGACUCCUACGGGAAGCAGCAGUAGGGAAUCUUCCGAAAUGGGCGAAGGCCUGACGGAGGAACGCCGCGUGAGUGAUGAAGGUCUUCGGAUCGUAAAAAUCUGUUAUUAGGGAAGAACAUAUGUGUAAGUAACUGUGAACAUCUUGACGGUACCUAAUCAGAAAGCGACGGCUAACUACGUG